GACGAACGCUGGCGGCGUGCUUAACACAUGCAAGUCGAACGGAAAGGCCCCUUUGGGGGUACUCGAGUGGCGAACGGGGGAGUAACACGGGAGUAACCUGCCCUUGAUAUCGGGAUAACUUCAGGAAAGUGGGGCUAAUACCGGAAAGGAAUCCUUGCUGCAUGGUGGGGGUGGGAAAGCUCCGGCGGUUUUGGAUGGACUCGCGGCUUAUUGGCUGGUUGGUGGGAUAGUGGCUUACCAAGGCGUUGACGGGUAGCCCGACAGAGGGGGCGACCGGCGACAUUGAGACUGAGAUGCGGCAGAGACUGGUACGAGAGGCAAAAGUGGGGAAUAUUGCACAAUGGGCGGCGGGCUGAUGCAGAAAGGCUGCGGGCUGGAUGACGGCCUUCGUGUUGUAGACCGGUUGCAGCAGGGGCGAAGCUUGUGGUGACGGUACCUGAAGAAGAAGCACCGGCUAACUACGUG
Molecule: ribosomal RNA, 465 nt
Filed under: uncultured bacterium
Lineage: Bacteria
Description: partial 16S ribosomal RNA
Rfam family: Bacterial small subunit ribosomal RNA
Source: RNAcentral